Small nuclear RNA from Cynocephalus volans (Philippine flying lemur), 108 nucleotides. NCBI's taxonomy places the organism in Eukaryota, Metazoa, Chordata, Mammalia, Dermoptera, Cynocephalidae. The record is from RefSeq and is a predicted model, not a curated record.
GUGCUCGCUUCGGCAGCACAUAUACUAAAAUUGGAACGAUACAGAGAAGAUUAGCAUGGCCGCUGCGCAAGGAUGACACGAAAAUAAUAUGCAUCAUUGACUUAUUUU